Molecule: ribosomal RNA, 253 nt
Filed under: uncultured bacterium
Lineage: Bacteria
Description: partial 16S ribosomal RNA
Rfam family: Bacterial small subunit ribosomal RNA
Source: RNAcentral
UACGUAGGGGGCGAGCGUUGUUCGGAUUUACUGGGCGUAAAGGGCGCGUAGGCGGCCCUCCUUGUCGCGUGUGAAAGCCCCGGGCUCAACCUGGGAACGGCGCGCGAAACGGGAGGGCUGGAGUUCGGGAGAGGAGAGUGGAAUUCCCAGUGUAGAGGUGAAAUUCGUAGAUAUUGGGAAGAACACCGGUGGCGAAGGCGGCUCUCUGGACCGAGACUGACGCUGAGGCGCGAAAGCGUGGGGAGCAAACAGG